UACAGAGGGUGCGAGCGUUGUCCGGAAUCACUGGGCGUAAAGGGCGCGUAGGUGGCGCCCCAAGUCGAUGGUGAAAGCUCGCCGCUCAACGGCGAGUCGGCCACCGAUACUGGGGGGCUUGAGCACUGUAGAGGCAGAUGGAAUUCCGGGUGUAGCGGUGGAAUGCGUAGAGAUCCGGAAGAACACCGGUGGCGAAGGCGGUCUGCUGGGCAGUUGCUGACACUGAGGCGCGACAGCGUGGGGAGCAAACAGG
This 253-nucleotide ribosomal RNA is filed under the name uncultured bacterium. Its description in RNAcentral is "partial 16S ribosomal RNA". It matches the Rfam family "Bacterial small subunit ribosomal RNA", at positions 524 to 776 of the family's 1533-position model. The record is from RNAcentral.